This 443-nucleotide ribosomal RNA is filed under the name uncultured bacterium. RNAcentral's name for it is "partial 16S ribosomal RNA". It matches the Rfam family "Bacterial small subunit ribosomal RNA", at positions 338 to 795 of the family's 1533-position model. The record is from RNAcentral.
CCUACGGGUGGCAGCAGUGGGGAAUAUUGGGCAAUGGGCGCAAGCCUGAACCAGCAACGCCGCGUGAAGGAAGAAGGCUUUAGGGUUGUAAACUUCUUUUUUCAGGGACGAAGAAAGUGACGGUACUUGAGGAAUAAGCCACGGCUAACUACGUGCCAGCAGCCGCGGUAAUACGUAGGUGGCAAGCGGUAUCCGGAUUUAAUGGGUGUAAAGGGCGUGUAGGCGGGAGCGCAAGUCAGAUGUGAAAACUCAGGGCGCCACCCUGAGCCUGCAUUUGAAACUGUGUGUCUUGAGUGCUGGAGAGGCAGUCGGAAUGCCUGGUGUAGCGGUGAAAUGCGUAGAUAUACGGAGGAACACCAGUGGCGAAGGCAGAUUUCCGGACAGUAACUGACGCUGAGGCGCGAAAGCGUGGGGAGCAAACAGGAUUAGAUACCCGAGUAGUC